AAUUUUCGAGACCUUUGGCACCGUUCUAAGAUGGGUCCUCUCUUCGUAGGCUAAUGCAUUGGCCCUUUUUGACCCGUUUUGGGGCGAAAACAAAAACUGACUCCCGGGCAUAUUUUUUUUCGGCCUUUAUGGGCAGAGAACUUUAAUGCCGCUCAGAAUGAGGCCACCCAGUAGUUAGGUGUGAAUUUUCGAGACCUUUGGCACCGUUCUAAGAUGGGUCCUCUCUUCGUAGGCUAAUGCAUUGGCCCUUUUUGACCCGUUUUGGGGCGAAAACAAAAACUGACUCCCGGGCAUAUUUUUUUCGGCCUUUAUGGGCAGAGAACUUUAAUGCCGCUCGGAAUGAGGCCACCCAGUAGUUAGGUGUGAAUUUUCGAGACCUUUGGCACCGUUCUAAGAUGGGUCCUCUCUUCGUAGGCUAAUGCAUUGGCCCUUUUUGACCCGUUUUGGGGCGAAAACAAAAACUGACUCCCGGGCAUAUUUUUUUCGGCCUUUAUGGGCAGAGAACUUUAAUGCCGCUCGGAAUGAGGCCACCCAGUAGUUAGGUGUGAAUUUUCGAGACCUUUGGCACCGUUCUAAGAUGGGUCCUCUCUUCGUAGGCUAAUGCAUUGGCCCUUUUUUGACCCGUUUUGGGGCGAAAACAAAAACUGACUCCCGGGCAUAUUUUUUUCGGCCUUUAUGGGCAGAGAACUUUAAUGCCGCUCAGAAUGAGGCCACCCAGUAGUUAGGUGUGAAUUUUCGAGACCUUUGGCACCGUUCUAAGAUGGGUCCUCUCUUCGUAGGCUAAUGCAUUGGCCCUUUUUGACCCGUUUUGGGGCGAAAACAAAAACUGACUCCCGGGCAUAUUUUUUUCGGCCUUUAUGGGCAGAGAACUUUAAUGCCGCUCAGAAUGAGGCCACCCAGUAGUUAGGUGUGAAUUUUCGAGACCUUUGGCACCGUUCUAAGAUGGGUCCUCUCUUCGUAGGCUAAUGCAUUGGCCCUUUUUGACCCGUUUUGGGGCGAAAACAAAAACUGACUCCCGGGCAUAUUUUUUUCGGCCUUUAUGGGCAGAGAACUUUAAUGCCGCUCAGAAUGAGGCCACCCAGUAGUUAGGUGUGAAUUUUCGAGACCUUUGGCACCGUUCUAAGAUGGGUCCUCUCUUCGUAGGCUAAUGCAUUGGCCCUUUUUGACCCGUUUUGGGGCGAAAACAAAAACUGACUCCCGGGCAUAUUUUUUUCGGCCUUUAUGGGCAGAGAACUUUAAUGCCGCUCAGAAUGAGGCCACCCAGUAGUUAGGUGUGAAUUUUCGAGACCUUUGGCACCGUUCUAAGAUGGGUCCUCUCUUCGUAGGCUAAUGCAUUGGCCCUUUUUGACCCGUUUUGGGGCGAAAACAAAAACUGACUCCCGGGCAUAUUUUUUUUCGGCCUUUAUGGGCAGAGAACUUUAAUGCCGCUCAGAAUGAGGCCACCCAGUAGUUAGGUGUGAAUUUUCGAGACCUUUGGCACCGUUCUAAGAUGGGUCCUCUCUUCGUAGGCUAAUGCAUUGGCCCUUUUUGACCCGUUUUGGGGCGAAAACAAAAACUGACUCCCGGGCAUAUUUUUUUCGGCCUUUAUGGGCAGAGAACUUUAAUGCCGCUCAGAAUGAGGCCACCCAGUAGUUAGGUGUGAAUUUUCGAGACCUCUGGCACCGUUCUAAGAUGGGUCCUCUCUUCGUAGGCUAAUGCAUUGGCCCUUUUUGACCCGUUUUGGGGCGAAAACAAAAACUGACUCCCGGGCAUAUUUUUUUCGGCCUUUAUGGGCAGAGAACUUUAAUGCCGCUCAGAAUGAGGCCACCCAGUAGUUAGGUGUGAAUUUUCGAGACCUCUGGCACCGUUCUAAGAUGGGUCCUCUCUUCGUAGGCUAAUGCAUUGGCCCUUUUUGACCCGUUUUGGGGCGAAAACAAAAACUGACUCCCGGGCAUAUUUUUUUCGGCCUUUAUGGGCAGAGAACUUUAAUGCCGCUCAGAAUGAGGCCACCCAGUAGUUAGGUGUGAAUUUUCGAGACCUCUGGCACCGUUCUAAGAUGGGUCCUCUCUUCGUAGGCUAAUGCAUUGGCCCUUUUUGACCCGUUUUGGGGCGAAAACAAAAACUGACUCCCGGGCAUAUUUUUUUCGGCCUUUAUGGGCAGAGAACUUUAAUGCCGCUCAGAAUGAGGCCACCCAGUAGUUAGGUGUGAAUUUUCGAGACCUCUGGCACCGUUCUAAGAUGGGUCCUCUCUUCGUAGGCUAAUGCAUUGGCCCUUUUUGACCCGUUUUGGGGCGAAAACAAAAACUGACUCCCGGGCAUAUUUUUUUCGGCCUUUAUGGGCAGAGAACUUUAAUGCCGCUCAGAAUGAGGCCACCCAGUAGUUAGGUGUGAAUUUUCGAGACCUCUGGCACCGUUCUAAGAUGGGUCCUCUCUUCGUAGGCUAAUGCAUUGGCCCUUUUUGACCCGUUUUGGGGCGAAAACAAAAACUGACUCCCGGGCAUAUUUUUUUCGGCCUUUAUGGGCAGAGAACUUUAAUGCCGCUCAGAAUGAGGCCACCCAGUAGUUAGGUGUGAAUUUUCGAGACCUCUGGCACCGUUCUAAGAUGGGUCCUCUCUUCGUAGGCUAAUGCAUUGGCCCUUUUUGACCCGUUUUGGGGCGAAAACAAAAACUGACUCCCGGGCAUAUUUUUUUCGGCCUUUAUGGGCAGAGAACUUUAAUGCCGCUCAGAAUGAGGCCACCCAGUAGUUAGGUGUGAAUUUUCGAGACCUCUGGCACCGUUCUAAGAUGGGUCCUCUCUUCGUAGGCUAAUGCAUUGGCCCUUUUUGACCCGUUUUGGGGCGAAAACAAAAACUGACUCCCGGGCAUAUUUUUUUCGGCCUUUAUGGGCAGAGAACUUUAAUGCCGCUCAGAAUGAGGCCACCCAGUAGUUAGGUGUGAAUUUUCGAGACCUCUGGCACCGUUCUAAGAUGGGUCCUCUCUUCGUAGGCUAAUGCAUUGGCCCUUUUUGACCCGUUUUGGGGCGAAAACAAAAACUGACUCCCGGGCAUAUUUUUUUCGGCCUUUAUGGGCAGAGAACUUUAAUGCCGCUCAGAAUGAGGCCACCCAGUAGUUAGGUGUGAAUUUUCGAGACCUCUGGCACCGUUCUAAGAUGGGUCCUCUCUUCGUAGGCUAAUGCAUUGGCCCUUUUUGACCCGUUUUGGGGCGAAAACAAAAACUGACUCCCGGGCAUAUUUUUUUCGGCCUUUUAUGGGCAGAGAACUUUAAUGCCGCUCAGAAUGAGGCCACCCAGUAGUUAGGUGUGAAUUUUCGAGACCUCUGGCACCGUUCUAAGAUGGGUCCUCUCUUCGUAGGCUAAUGCAUUGGCCCUUUUUGACCCGUUUUGGGGCGAAAACAAAAACUGACUCCCGGGCAUAUUUUUUUCGGCCUUUAUGGGCAGAGAACUUUAAUGCCGCUCAGAAUGAGGCCACCCAGUAGUUAGGUGUGAAUUUUCGAGACCUCUGGCACCGUUCUAAGAUGGGUCCUCUCUUCGUAGGCUAAUGCAUUGGCCCUUUUUGACCCGUUUUGGGGCGAAAACAAAAACUGACUCCCGGGCAUAUUUUUUUCGGCCUUUAUGGGCAGAGAACUUUAAUGCCGCUCAGAAUGAGGCCACCCAGUAGUUAGGUGUGAAUUUUCGAGACCUCUGGCACCGUUCUAAGAUGGGUCCUCUCUUCGUAGGCUAAUGCAUUGGCCCUUUUUGACCCGUUUUGGGGCGAAAACAAAAACUGACUCCCGGGCAUAUUUUUUUCGGCCUUUAUGGGCAGAGAACUUUAAUGCCGCUCAGAAUGAGGCCACCCAGUAGUUAGGUGUGAAUUUUCGAGACCUCUGGCACCGUUCUAAGAUGGGUCCUCUCUUCGUAGGCUAAUGCAUUGGCCCUUUUUGACCCGUUUUGGGGCGAAAACAAAAACUGACUCCCGGGCAUAUUUUUUUCGGCCUUUAUGGGCAGAGAACUUUAAUGCCGCUCAGAAUGAGGCCACCCAGUAGUUAGGUGUGAAUUUUCGAGACCUCUGGCACCGUUCUAAGAUGGGUCCUCUCUUCGUAGGCUAAUGCAUUGGCCCUUUUUGACCCGUUUUGGGGCGAAAAAAAAAAACUGACUCCCGGGCAUAUUUUUUUCGGCCUUUAUGGGCAGAGAACUUUAAUGCCGCUCAGAAUGAGGCCACCCAGUAGUUAGGUGUGAAUUUUCGAGACCUCUGGCACCGUUCUAAGAUGGGUCCUCUCUUCGUAGGCUAAUGCAUUGGCCCUUUUUGACCCGUUUUGGGGCGAAAACAAAAACUGACUCCCGGGCAUAUUUUUUUCGGCCUUUAUGGGCAGAGAACUUUAAUGCCGCUCAGAAUGAGGCCACCCAGUAGUUAGGUGUGAAUUUUCGAGACCUCUGGCACCGUUCUAAGAUGGGUCCUCUCUUCGUAGGCUAAUGCAUUGGCCCUUUUUGACCCGUUUUGGGGCGAAAACAAAAACUGACUCCCGGGCAUAUUUUUUUCGGCCUUUAUGGGCAGAGAACUUUAAUGCCGCUCAGAAUGAGGCCACCCAGUAGUUAGGUGUGAAUUUUCGAGACCUCUGGCACCGUUCUAAGAUGGGUCCUCUCUUCGUAGGCUAAUGCAUUGGCCCUUUUUGACCCGUUUUGGGGCGAAAACAAAAACUGACUCCCGGGCAUAUUUUUUUCGGCCUUUAUGGGCAGAGAACUUUAAUGCCGCUCAGAAUGAGGCCACCCAGUAGUUAGGUGUGAAUUUUCGAGACCUCUGGCACCGUUCUAAGAUGGGUCCUCUCUUCGUAGGCUAAUGCAUUGGCCCUUUUUGACCCGUUUUGGGGCGAAAACAAAAACUGACUCCCGGGCAUAUUUUUUUCGGCCUUUAUGGGCAGAGAACUUUAAUGCCGCUCAGAAUGAGGCCACCCAGUAGUUAGGUGUGAAUUUUCGAGACCUCUGGCACCGUUCUAAGAUGGGUCCUCUCUUCGUAGGCUAAUGCAUUGGCCCUUUUUGACCCGUUUUGGGGCGAAAACAAAAACUGACUCCCGGGCAUAUUUUUUUCGGCCUUUAUGGGCAGAGAACUUUAAUGCCGCUCAGAAUGAGGCCACCCAGUAGUUAGGUGUGAAUUUUCGAGACCUCUGGCACCGUUCUAAGAUGGGUCCUCUCUUCGUAGGCUAAUGCAUUGGCCCUUUUUGACCCGUUUUGGGGCGAAAACAAAAACUGACUCCCGGGCAUAUUUUUUUCGGCCUUUAUGGGCAGAGAACUUUAAUACCGCUCAGAAUGAGGCCACCCAGUAGUUAGGUGUGAAUUUUCGAGACCUCUGGCACCGUUCUAAGAUGGGUCCUCUCUUCGUAGGCUAAUGCAUUGGCCCUUUUUGACCCGUUUUGGGGCGAAAACAAAAACUGACUCCCGGGCAUAUUUUUUUCGGCCUUUAUGGGCAGAGAACUUUAAUGCCGCUCAGAAUGAGGCCACCCAGUAGUUAGGUGUGAAUUUUCGAGACCUCUGGCACCGUUCUAAGAUGGGUCCUCUCUUCGUAGGCUAAUGCAUUGGCCCUUUUUGACCCGUUUUGGGGCGAAAACAAAAACUGACUCCCGGGCAUAUUUUUUUCGGCCUUUAUGGGCAGAGAACUUUAAUACCGCUCAGAAUGAGGCCACCCAGUAGUUAGGUGUGAAUUUUCGAGACCUCUGGCACCGUUCUAAGAUGGGUCCUCUCUUCGUAGGCUAAUGCAUUGGCCCUUUUUGACCCGUUUUGGGGCGAAAACAAAAACUGACUCCCGGGCAUAUUUUUUUCGGCCUUUAUGGGCAGAGAACUUUAAUACCGCUCAGAAUGAGGCCACCCAGUAGUUAGGUGUGAAUUUUCGAGACCUCUGGCACCGUUCUAAGAUGGGUCCUCUCUUCGUAGGCUAAUGCAUUGGCCCUUUUUGACCCGUUUUGGGGCGAAAACAAAAACUGACUCCCGGGCAUAUUUUUUUCGGCCUUUAUGGGCAGAGAACUUUAAUACCGCUCAGAAUGAGGCCACCCAGUAGUUAGGUGUGAAUUUUCGAGACCUCUGGCACCGUUCUAAGAUGGGUCCUCUCUUCGUAGGCUAAUGCAUUGGCCCUUUUUGACCCGUUUUGGGGCGAAAACAAAAACUGACUCCCGGGCAUAUUUUUUUCGGCCUUUAUGGGCAGAGAACUUUAAUACCGCUCAGAAUGAGGCCACCCAGUAGUUAGGUGUGAAUUUUCGAGACCUCUGGCACCGUUCUAAGAUGGGUCCUCUCUUCGUAGGCUAAUGCAUUGGCCCUUUUUGACCCGUUUUGGGGCGAAAACAAAAACUGACUCCCGGGCAUAUUUUUUUCGGCCUUUAUGGGCAGAGAACUUUAAUGCCGCUCAGAAUGAGGCCACCCAGUAGUUAGGUGUGAAUUUUCGAGACCUCUGGCACCGUUCUAAGAUGGGUCCUCUCUUCGUAGGCUAAUGCAUUGGCCCUUUUUGACCCGUUUUGGGGCGAAAACAAAAACUGACUCCCGGGCAUAUUUUUUUCGGCCUUUAUGGGCAGAGAACUUUAAUACCGCUCAGAAUGAGGCCACCCAGUAGUUAGGUGUGAAUUUUCGAGACCUCUGGCACCGUUCUAAGAUGGGUCCUCUCUUCGUAGGCUAAUGCAUUGGCCCUUUUUGACCCGUUUUGGGGCGAAAACAAAAACUGACUCCCGGGCAUAUUUUUUUCGGCCUUUAUGGGCAGAGAACUUUAAUGCCGCUCAGAAUGAGGCCACCCAGUAGUUAGGUGUGAAUUUUCGAGACCUCUGGCACCGUUCUAAGAUGGGUCCUCUCUUCGUAGGCUAAUGCAUUGGCCCUUUUUGACCCGUUUUGGGGCGAAAACAAAAACUGACUCCCGGGCAUAUUUUUUUCGGCCUUUAUGGGCAGAGAACUUUAAUGCCGCUCAGAAUGAGGCCACCCAGUAGUUAGGUGUGAAUUUUCGAGACCUCUGGCACCGUUCUAAGAUGGGUCCUCUCUUCGUAGGCUAAUGCAUUGGCCCUUUUUGACCCGUUUUGGGGCGAAAACAAAAACUGACUCCCGGGCAUAUUUUUUUCGGCCUUUAUGGGCAGAGAACUUUAAUACCGCUCAGAAUGAGGCCACCCAGUAGUUAGGUGUGAAUUUUCGAGACCUCUGGCACCGUUCUAAGAUGGGUCCUCUCUUCGUAGGCUAAUGCAUUGGCCCUUUUUGACCCGUUUUGGGGCGAAAACAAAAACUGACUCCCGGGCAUAUUUUUUUCGGCCUUUAUGGGCAGAGAACUUUAAUGCCGCUCAGAAUGAGGCCACCCAGUAGUUAGGUGUGAAUUUUCGAGACCUCUGGCACCGUUCUAAGAUGGGUCCUCUCUUCGUAGGCUAAUGCAUUGGCCCUUUUUGACCCGUUUUGGGGCGAAAACAAAAACUGACUCCCGGGCAUAUUUUUUUCGGCCUUUAUGGGCAGAGAACUUUAAUGCCGCUCAGAAUGAGGCCACCCAGUAGUUAGGUGUGAAUUUUCGAGACCUCUGGCACCGUUCUAAGAUGGGUCCUCUCUUCGUAGGCUAAUGCAUUGGCCCUUUUUGACCCGUUUUGGGGCGAAAACAAAAACUGACUCCCGGGCAUAUUUUUUUCGGCCUUUAUGGGCAGAGAACUUUAAUGCCGCUCAGAAUGAGGCCACCCAGUAGUUAGGUGUGAAUUUUCGAGACCUCUGGCACCGUUCUAAGAUGGGUCCUCUCUUCGUAGGCUAAUGCAUUGGCCCUUUUUGACCCGUUUUGGGGCGAAAACAAAAACUGACUCCCGGGCAUAUUUUUUUCGGCCUUUAUGGGCAGAGAACUUUAAUGCCGCUCAGAAUGAGGCCACCCAGUAGUUAGGUGUGAAUUUUCGAGACCUCUGGCACCGUUCUAAGAUGGGUCCUCUCUUCGUAGGCUAAUGCAUUGGCCCUUUUUGACCCGUUUUGGGGCGAAAACAAAAACUGACUCCCGGGCAUAUUUUUUUCGGCCUUUAUGGGCAGAGAACUUUAAUGCCGCUCAGAAUGAGGCCACCCAGUAGUUAGGUGUGAAUUUUCGAGACCUCUGGCACCGUUCUAAGAUGGGUCCUCUCUUCGUAGGCUAAUGCAUUGGCCCUUUUUGACCCGUUUUGGGGCGAAAACAAAAACUGACUCCCGGGCAUAUUUUUUUCGGCCUUUAUGGGCAGAGAACUUUAAUGCCGCUCAGAAUGAGGCCACCCAGUAGUUAGGUGUGAAUUUUCGAGACCUCUGGCACCGUUCUAAGAUGGGUCCUCUCUUCGUAGGCUAAUGCAUUGGCCCUUUUUGACCCGUUUUGGGGCGAAAACAAAAACUGACUCCCGGGCAUAUUUUUUUCGGCCUUUAUGGGCAGAGAACUUUAAUGCCGCUCAGAAUGAGGCCACCCAGUAGUUAGGUGUGAAUUUUCGAGACCUCUGGCACCGUUCUAAGAUGGGUCCUCUCUUCGUAGGCUAAUGCAUUGGCCCUUUUUGACCCGUUUUGGGGCGAAAACAAAAACUGACUCCCGGGCAUAUUUUUUUCGGCCUUUAUGGGCAGAGAACUUUAAUGCCGCUCAGAAUGAGGCCACCCAGUAGUUAGGUGUGAAUUUUCGAGACCUCUGGCACCGUUCUAAGAUGGGUCCUCUCUUCGUAGGCUAAUGCAUUGGCCCUUUUUGACCCGUUUUGGGGCGAAAACAAAAACUGACUCCCGGGCAUAUUUUUUUCGGCCUUUAUGGGCAGAGAACUUUAAUGCCGCUCAGAAUGAGGCCACCCAGUAGUUAGGUGUGAAUUUUCGAGACCUCUGGCACCGUUCUAAGAUGGGUCCUCUCUUCGUAGGCUAAUGCAUUGGCCCUUUUUGACCCGUUUUGGGGCGAAAACAAAAACUGACUCCCGGGCAUAUUUUUUUCGGCCUUUAUGGGCAGAGAACUUUAAUGCCGCUCAGAAUGAGGCCACCCAGUAGUUAGGUGUGAAUUUUCGAGACCUCUGGCACCGUUCUAAGAUGGGUCCUCUCUUCGUAGGCUAAUGCAUUGGCCCUUUUUGACCCGUUUUGGGGCGAAAACAAAAACUGACUCCCGGGCAUAUUUUUUUCGGCCUUUAUGGGCAGAGAACUUUAAUGCCGCUCAGAAUGAGGCCACCCAGUAGUUAGGUGUGAAUUUUCGAGACCUCUGGCACCGUUCUAAGAUGGGUCCUCUCUUCGUAGGCUAAUGCAUUGGCCCUUUUUGACCCGUUUUGGGGCGAAAACAAAAACUGACUCCCGGGCAUAUUUUUUUCGGCCUUUAUGGGCAGAGAACUUUAAUACCGCUCAGAAUGAGGCCACCCAGUAGUUAGGUGUGAAUUUUCGAGACCUCUGGCACCGUUCUAAGAUGGGUCCUCUCUUCGUAGGCUAAUGCAUUGGCCCUUUUUGACCCGUUUUGGGGCGAAAACAAAAACUGACUCCCGGGCAUAUUUUUUUCGGCCUUUAUGGGCAGAGAACUUUAAUGCCGCUCAGAAUGAGGCCACCCAGUAGUUAGGUGUGAAUUUUCGAGACCUCUGGCACCGUUCUAAGAUGGGUCCUCUCUUCGUAGGCUAAUGCAUUGGCCCUUUUUGACCCGUUUUGGGGCGAAAACAAAAACUGACUCCCGGGCAUAUUUUUUUCGGCCUUUAUGGGCAGAGAACUUUAAUACCGCUCAGAAUGAGGCCACCCAGUAGUUAGGUGUGAAUUUUCGAGACCUCUGGCACCGUUCUAAGAUGGGUCCUCUCUUCGUAGGCUAAUGCAUUGGCCCUUUUUGACCCGUUUUGGGGCGAAAACAAAAACUGACUCCCGGGCAUAUUUUUUUCGGCCUUUAUGGGCAGAGAACUUUAAUGCCGCUCAGAAUGAGGCCACCCAGUAGUUAGGUGUGAAUUUUCGAGACCUCUGGCACCGUUCUAAGAUGGGUCCUCUCUUCGUAGGCUAAUGCAUUGGCCCUUUUUGACCCGUUUUGGGGCGAAAACAAAAACUGACUCCCGGGCAUAUUUUUUUCGGCCUUUAUGGGCAGAGAACUUUAAUGCCGCUCAGAAUGAGGCCACCCAGUAGUUAGGUGUGAAUUUUCGAGACCUCUGGCACCGUUCUAAGAUGGGUCCUCUCUUCGUAGGGCUAAUGCAUUGGCCCUUUUUGACCCGUUUUGGGGCGAAAACAAAAACUGACUCCCGGGCAUAUUUUUUUCGGCCUUUAUGGGCAGAGAACUUUAAUACCGCUCAGAAUGAGGCCACCCAGUAGUUAGGUGUGAAUUUUCGAGACCUCUGGCACCGUUCUAAGAUGGGUCCUCUCUUCGUAGGCUAAUGCAUUGGCCCUUUUUGACCCGUUUUGGGGCGAAAACAAAAACUGACUCCCGGGCAUAUUUUUUUCGGCCUUUAUGGGCAGAGAACUUUAAUGCCGCUCAGAAUGAGGCCACCCAGUAGUUAGGUGUGAAUUUUCGAGACCUCUGGCACCGUUCUAAGAUGGGUCCUCUCUUCGUAGGCUAAUGCAUUGGCCCUUUUUGACCCGUUUUGGGGCGAAAACCAAAAACUGACUCCCGGGCAUAUUUUUUUCGGCCUUUAUGGGCAGAGAACUUUAAUACCGCUCAGAAUGAGGCCACCACCCAGUAGUUAGGUGUGAAUUUUCGAGACCUCUGGCACCGUUCUAAGAUGGGUCCUCUCUUCGUAGGCUAAUGCAUUGGCCCUUUUUGACCCGUUUUGGGGCGAAAACAAAAACUGACUCCCGGGCAUAUUUUUUUCGGCCUUUAUGGGCAGAGAAACUUUAAUGCCGCUCAGAAUGAGGCCACCCAGUAGUUAGGUGUGAAUUUUCGAGACCUCUGGCACCGUUCUAAGAUGGGUCCUCUCUUCGUAGGCUAAUGCAUUGGCCCUUUUUGACCCGUUUUGGGGCGAAAACAAAAACUGACUCCCGGGCAUAUUUUUUUCGGCCUUUAUGGGCAGAGAACUUUAAUACCGCUCAGAAUGAGGCCACCCAGUAGUUAGGUGUGAAUUUUCGAGACCUCUGGCACCGUUCUAAGAUGGGUCCUCUCUUCGUAGGCUAAUGCAUUGGCCCUUUUUGACCCGUUUUGGGGCGAAAACAAAAACUGACUCCCGGGCAUAUUUUUUUCGGCCUUUAUGGGCAAAGAACUUUAAUGCCGCUCAGAAUGAGGCCACCCAGUAGUUAGGUGUGAAUUUUCGAGACCUCUGGCACCGUUCUAAGAUGGGUCCUCUCUUCGUAGGCUAAUGCAUUGGCCCUUUUUGACCCGUUUUGGGGCGAAAAACAAAAACUGACUCCCGGGCAUAUUUUUUUCGGCCUUUAUGGGCAAAGAACUUUAAUGCCGCUCAGAAUGAGGCCACCCAGUAGUUAGGUGUGAAUUUUCGAGACCUCUGGCACCGUUCUAAGAUGGGUCCUCUCUUCGUAGGCUAAUGCAUUGGCCCUUUUUGACCCGUUUUGGGGCGAAAACAAAAAACUGACUCCCGGGCAUAUUUUUUUCGGCCUUUAUGGGCAGAGAACUUUAAUGCCGCUCAGAAUGAGGCCACCCAGUAGUUAGGUGUGAAUUUUCGAGACCUCUGGCACCGUUCUAAGAUGGGUCCUCUCUUCGUAGGCUAAUGCAUUGGCCCUUUUUGACCCGUUUUGGGGCGAAAACAAAAACUGACUCCCGGGCAUAUUUUUUUCGGCCUUUAUGGGCAGAGAACUUUAAUACCGCUCAGAAUGAGGCCACCCAGUAGUUAGGUGUGAAUUUUCGAGACCUCUGGCACCGUUCUAAGAUGGGUCCUCUCUUCGUAGGCUAAUGCAUUGGCCCUUUUUGACCCGUUUUGGGGCGAAAACAAAAACUGACUCCCGGGCAUAUUUUUUUCGGCCUUUAUGGGCAGAGAACUUUAAUACCGCUCAGAAUGAGGCCACCCAGUAGUUAGGUGUGAAUUUUCGAGACCCUCUGGCACCGUUCUAAGAUGGGUCCUCUCUUCGUAGGCUAAUGCAUUGGCCCUUUUUGACCCGUUUUGGGGCGAAAACAAAAACUGACUCCCGGGCAUAUUUUUUUCGGCCUUUAUGGGCAGAGAACUUUAAUACCGCUCAGAAUGAGGCCACCCAGUAGUUAGGUGUGAAUUUUCGAGACCUCUUGGCACCGUUCUAAGAUGGGUCCUCUCUUCGUAGGCUAAUGCAUUGGCCCUUUUUGACCCGUUUUGGGGCGAAAACAAAAACUGACUCCCGGGCAUAUUUUUUUCGGCCUUUAUGGGCAGAGAACUUUAAUGCCGCUCAGAAUGAGGCCACCCAGUAGUUAGGUGUGAAUUUUCGAGACCUCUGGCACCGUUCUAAGAUGGGUCCUCUCUUCGUAGGCUAAUGCAUUGGCCCUUUUUGACCCGUUUUGGGGCGAAAACAAAAACUGACUCCCGGGCAUAUUUUUUUCGGCCUUUAUGGGCAGAGAACUUUAAUACCGCUCAAAAAUGAGGCCACCCAGUAGUUAGGUGUGAAUUUUCGAGACCUCUGGCACCGUUCUAAGAUGGGUCCUCUCUUCGUAGGCUAAUGCAUUGGCCCUUUUUGACCCGUUUUGGGGCGAAAACAAAAACUGACUCCCGGGCAUAUUUUUUUCGGCCUUUAUGGGCAGAGAACUUUAAUACCGCUCAGAAUGAGGCCACCCAGUAGUUAGGUGUGAAUUUUCGAGACCUUUGGCACCGUUCUAAGAUGGGUCCUCUCUUCGUAGGCUAAUGCAUUGGCCCUUUUUGACCCGUUUUGGGGCGAAAACAAAAACUGACUCCCGGGCAUAUUUUUUUCGGCCUUUAUGGGCAGAGAACUUUAAUGCCGCUCAGAAUGAGGCCACCCAGUAGUUAGGUGUGAAUUUUCGAGACCUCUGGCACCGUUCUAAGAUGGGUCCUCUCUUCGUAGGCUAAUGCAUUGGCCCUUUUUGACCCGUUUUGGGGCGAAAACAAAAACUGACUCCCGGGCAUAUUUUUUUCGGCCUUUAUGGGCAGAGAACUUUAAUGCCGCUCAGAAUGAGGCCACCCAGUAGUUAGGUGUGAAUUUUCGAGACCUCUGGCACCGUUCUAAGAUGGGUCCUCUCUUCGUAGGCUAAUGCAUUGGCCCUUUUUGACCCGUUUUGGGGCGAAAACAAAAACUGACUCCCGGGCAUAUUUUUUUCGGCCUUUAUGGGCAGAGAACUUUAAUACCGCUCAGAAUGAGGCCACCCAGUAGUUAGGUGUGAAUUUUCGAGACCUCUGGCACCGUUCUAAGAUGGGUCCUCUCUUCGUAGGCUAAUGCAUUGGCCCUUUUUGACCCGUUUUGGGGCGAAAACAAAAACUGACUCCCGGGCAUAUUUUUUUCGGCCUUUAUGGGCAGAGAACUUUAAUACCGCUCAGAAUGAGGCCACCCAGUAGUUAGGUGUGAAUUUUCGAGACCUCUGGCACCGUUCUAAGAUGGGUCCUCUCUUCGUAGGCUAAUGCAUUGGCCCUUUUUGACCCGUUUUGGGGCGAAAACAAAAACUGACUCCCGGGCAUAUUUUUUUCGGCCUUUAUGGGCAGAGAACUUUAAUACCGCUCAGAAUGAGGCCACCCAGUAGUUAGGUGUGAAUUUUCGAGACCUUCUGGCACCGUUCUAAGAUGGGUCCUCUCUUCGUAGGCUAAUGCAUUGGCCCUUUUUGACCCGUUUUGGGGCGAAAACAAAAACUGACUCCCGGGCAUAUUUUUUUCGGCCUUUAUGGGCAGAGAACUUUAAUGCCGCUCAGAAUGAGGCCACCCAGUAGUUAGGUGUGAAUUUUCGAGACCUCUGGCACCGUUCUAAGAUGGGUCCUCUCUUCGUAGGCUAAUGCAUUGGCCCUUUUUGACCCGUUUUGGGGCGAAAACAAAAACUGACUCCCGGGCAUAUUUUUUUCGGCCUUUAUGGGCAGAGAACUUUAAUACCGCUCAGAAUGAGGCCACCCAGUAGUUAGGUGUGAAUUUUCGAGACCUCUGGCACCGUUCUAAGAUGGGUCCUCUCUUCGUAGGCUAAUGCAUUGGCCCUUUUUGACCCGUUUUGGGGCGAAAACAAAAACUGACUCCCGGGCAUAUUUUUUUCGGCCUUUAUGGGCAGAGAACUUUAAUACCGCUCAGAAUGAGGCCACCCAGUAGUUAGGUGUGAAUUUUCGAGACCUCUGGCACCGUUCUAAGAUGGGUCCUCUCUUCGUAGGCUAAUGCAUUGGCCCUUUUUGACCCGUUUUGGGGCGAAAACAAAAACUGACUCCCGGGCAUAUUUUUUUCGGCCUUUAUGGGCAGAGAACUUUAAUGCCGCUCAGAAUGAGGCCACCCAGUAGUUAGGUGUGAAUUUUCGAGACCUCUGGCACCGUUCUAAGAUGGGUCCUCUCUUCGUAGGCUAAUGCAUUGGCCCUUUUUGACCCGUUUUGGGGCGAAAACAAAAACUGACUCCCGGGCAUAUUUUUUUCGGCCUUUAUGGGCAGAGAACUUUAAUACCGCUCAGAAAUGAGGCCACCCAGUAGUUAGGUGUGAAUUUUCGAGACCUCUGGCACCGUUCUAAGAUGGGUCCUCUCUUCGUAGGCUAAUGCAUUGGCCCUUUUUGACCCGUUUUGGGGCGAAAACAAAAACUGACUCCCGGGCAUAUUUUUUUCGGCCUUUAUGGGCAGAGAACUUUAAUACCGCUCAGAAUGAGGCCACCCAGUAGUUAGGUGUGAAUUUUCGAGACCUCUCGGCACCGUUCUAAGAUGGGUCCUCUCUUCGUAGGCUAAUGCAUUGGCCCUUUUUGACCCGUUUUGGGGCGAAAACAAAAACUGACUCCCGGGCAUAUUUUUUUCGGCCUUUAUGGGCAGAGAACUUUAAUGCCGCUCAGAAAUGAGGCCACCCAGUAGUUAGGUGUGAAUUUUCGAGACCUCUGGCACCGUUCUAAGAUGGGUCCUCUCUUCGUAGGCUAAUGCAUUGGCCCUUUUUGACCCGUUUUGGGGCGAAAACAAAAACUGACUCCCGGGCAUAUUUUUUUCGGCCUUUAUGGGCAGAGAACUUUAAUACCGCUCAGAAUGAGGCCACCCAGUAGUUAGGUGUGAAUUUUCGAGACCUCUGGCACCGUUCUAAGAUGGGUCCUCUCUUCGUAGGCUAAUGCAUUGGCCCUUUUUGACCCGUUUUGGGGCGAAAACAAAAACUGACUCCCGGGCAUAUUUUUUUCGGCCUUUAUGGGCAGAGAACUUUAAUACCGCUCAGAAUGAGGCCACCCAGUAGUUAGGUGUGAAUUUUCGAGACCUCUUGGCACCGUUCUAAGAUGGGUCCUCUCUUCGUAGGCUAAUGCAUUGGCCCUUUUUGACCCGUUUUGGGGCGAAAACAAAAACUGACUCCCGGGCAUAUUUUUUUCGGCCUUUAUGGGCAGAGAACUUUAAUGCCGCUCAGAAUGAGGCCACCCAGUAGUUAGGUGUGAAUUUUCGAGACCUCUGGCACCGUUCUAAGAUGGGUCCUCUCUUCGUAGGCUAAUGCAUUGGCCCUUUUUGACCCGUUUUGGGGCGAAAACAAAAACUGACUCCCGGGCAUAUUUUUUUCGGCCUUUAUGGGCAGAGAACUUUAAUGCCGCUCAGAAUGAGGCCACCCAGUAGUUAGGUGUGAAUUUUCGAGACCUUUGGCACCGUUCUAAGAUGGGUCCUCUCUUCGUAGGCUAAUGCAUUGGCCCUUUUUGACCCGUUUUGGGGCGAAAACAAAAACUGACUCCCGGGCAUAUUUUUUUCGGCCUUUAUGGGCAGAGAACUUUAAUACCGCUCAGAAUGAGGCCACCCAGUAGUUAGGUGUGAAUUUUCGAGACCUCUGGCACCGUUCUAAGAUGGGUCCUCUCUUCGUAGGCUAAUGCAUUGGCCCUUUUUGACCCGUUUUGGGGCGAAAACAAAAACUGACUCCCGGGCAUAUUUUUUUCGGCCUUUAUGGGCAGAGAACUUUAAUGCCGCUCAGAAUGAGGCCACCCAGUAGUUAGGUGUGAAUUUUCGAGACCUCUGGCACCGUUCUAAGAUGGGUCCUCUCUUCGUAGGCUAAUGCAUUGGCCCUUUUUGACCCGUUUUGGGGCGAAAACAAAAACUGACUCCCGGGCAUAUUUUUUUCGGCCUUUAUGGGCAGAGAACUUUAAUACCGCUCAGAAUGAGGCCACCCAGUAGUUAGGUGUGAAUUUUCGAGACCUCUGGCACCGUUCUAAGAUGGGUCCUCUCUUCGUAGGCUAAUGCAUUGGCCCUUUUUGACCCGUUUUGGGGCGAAAACAAAAACUGACUCCCGGGCAUAUUUUUUUCGGCCUUUAUGGGCAGAGAACUCUUAAUAGCCGCUCAGAAAUGGCCAGGCCACCCAGUAGUUAGGUGUGAAUUUUCGAGACCUCUGGCACCGUUCUAAGAUGGGUCCUCUCUUCGUAGGCUAAUGCAUUGGCCCUUUUUGACCCGUUUUGGGGCGAAAACAAAAACUGACUCCCGGGCAUAUUUUUUUCGGCCUUUAUGGGCAGAGAACUUUAAUGCCGCUCAGAAUGAGGCCACCCAGUAGUUAGGUGUGAAUUUUCGAGACCUCUGGCACCGUUCUAAGAUGGGUCCUCUCUUCGUAGGCUAAUGCAUUGGCCCUUUUUGACCCGUUUUGGGGCGAAAACAAAAACUGACUCCCGGGCAUAUUUUUUUCGGCCUUUAUGGGCAGAGAACUUUAAUGCCGCUCAGAAUGAGGCCACCCAGUAGUUAGGUGUGAAUUUUCGAGACCUUUGGCACCGUUCUAAGAUGGGUCCUCUCUUCGUAGGCUAAUGCAUUGGCCCUUUUUGACCCGUUUUGGGGCGAAAACAAAAACUGACUCCCGGGCAUAUUUUUUUCGGCCUUUAUGGGCAGAGAACUUUAAUGCCGCUCAGAAUGAGGCCACCCAGUAGUUAGGUGUGAAUUUUCGAGACCUCUGGCACCGUUCUAAGAUGGGUCCUCUCUUCGUAGGCUAAUGCAUUGGCCCUUUUUGACCCGUUUUGGGGCGAAAACAAAAACUGACUCCCGGGCAUAUUUUUUUCGGCCUUUAUGGGCAGAGAACUUUAAUACCGCUCAGAAUGAGGCCACCCAGUAGUUAGGUGUGAAUUUUCGAGACCUUUGGCACCGUUCUAAGAUGGGUCCUCUCUUCGUAGGCUAAUGCAUUGGCCCUUUUUGACCCGUUUUGGGGCGAAAACAAAAACUGACUCCCGGGCAUAUUUUUUUCGGCCUUUAUGGGCAGAGAACUUUAAUACCGCUCAGAAUGAGGCCACCCAGUAGUUAGGUGUGAAUUUUCGAGACCUCUGGCACCGUUCUAAGAUGGGUCCUCUCUUCGUAGGCUAAUGCAUUGGCCCUUUUUGACCCGUUUUGGGGCGAAAACAAAAACUGACUCCCGGGCAUAUUUUUUUCGGCCUUUAUGGGCAGAGAACUUUAAUGCCGCUCAGAAUGAGGCCACCCAGUAGUUAGGUGUGAAUUUUCGAGACCUUUGGCCACCGUUCUAAGAUGGGUCCUCUCUUCGUAGGCUAAUGCAUUGGCCCUUUUUGACCCGUUUUGGGGCGAAAACAAAAACUGACUCCCGGGCAUAUUUUUUUCGGCCUUUAUGGGCAGAGAACUUUAAUACCGCUCAGAAUGAGGCCACCCAGUAGUUAGGUGUGAAUUUUCGAGACCUUUGGCACCGUUCUAAGAUGGGUCCUCUCUUCGUAGGCUAAUGCAUUGGCCCUUUUUGACCCGUUUUGGGGCGAAAACAAAAACUGACUCCCGGGCAUAUUUUUUUCGGCCUUUAUGGGCAGAGAACUUUAAUACCGCUCAGAAUGAGGCCACCCAGUAGUUAGGUGUGAAUUUUCGAGACCUUCUGGCACCGUUCUAAGAUGGGUCCUCUCUUCGUAGGCUAAUGCAUUGGCCCUUUUUGACCCGUUUUGGGGCGAAAACAAAAACUGACUCCCGGGCAUAUUUUUUUCGGCCUUUAUGGGCAGAGAACUUUAAUGCCGCUCAGAAUGAGGCCACCCAGUAGUUAGGUGUGAAUUUUCGAGACCUCUGGCACCGUUCUAAGAUGGGUCCUCUCUUCGUAGGCUAAUGCAUUGGCCCUUUUUGACCCGUUUUGGGGCGAAAACAAAAACUGACUCCCGGGCAUAUUUUUUUCGGCCUUUAUGGGCAGAGAACUUUAAUACCGCUCAGAAUGAGGCCACCCAGUAGUUAGGUGUGAAUUUUCGAGACCUUUGGCACCGUUCUAAGAUGGGUCCUCUCUUCGUAGGCUAAUGCAUUGGCCCUUUUUGACCCGUUUUGGGGCGAAAACAAAAACUGACUCCCGGGCAUAUUUUUUUCGGCCUUUAUGGGCAGAGAACUUUAAUGCCGCUCAGAAUGAGGCCACCCAGUAGUUAGGUGUGAAUUUUCGAGACCUUUGGCACCGUUCUAAGAUGGGUCCUCUCUUCGUAGGCUAAUGCAUUGGCCCUUUUUGACCCGUUUUGGGGCGAAAACAAAAACUGACUCCCGGGCAUAUUUUUUUCGGCCUUUAUGGGCAGAGAACUUUAAUACCGCUCAAAAUGAGGCCACCCAGUAGUUAGGUGUGAAUUUUCGAGACCUCUGGCACCGUUCUAAGAUGGGUCCUCUCUUCGUAGGCUAAUGCAUUGGCCCUUUUUGACCCGUUUUGGGGCGAAAACAAAAACUGACUCCCGGGCAUAUUUUUUUCGGCCUUUAUGGGCAGAGAACUUUAAUACCGCUCAAAAUGAGGCCACCCAGUAGUUAGGUGUGAAUUUUCGAGACCUUUGGCACCGUUCUAAGAUGGGUCCUCUCUUCGUAGGCUAAUGCAUUGGCCCUUUUUGACCCGUUUUGGGGCGAAAACAAAAACUGACUCCCGGGCAUAUUUUUUUCGGCCUUUAUGGGCAGAGAACUUUAAUGCCGCUCAGAAUGAGGCCACCCAGUAGUUAGGUGUGAAUUUUCGAGACCUUUGGCACCGUUCUAAGAUGGGUCCUCUCUUCGUAGGCUAAUGCAUUGGCCCUUUUUGACCCGUUUUGGGGCGAAAACAAAAACUGACUCCCGGGCAUAUUUUUUUCGGCCUUUAUGGGCAGAGAACUUUAAUACCGCUCAAAAUGAGGCCACCCAGUAGUUAGGUGUGAAUUUUCGAGACCUUUGGCACCGUUCUAAGAUGGGUCCUCUCUUCGUAGGCUAAUGCAUUGGCCCUUUUUGACCCGUUUUGGGGCGAAAACAAAAACUGACUCCCGGGCAUAUUUUUUUCGGCCUUUAUGGGCAGAGAACUUUAAUACCGCUCAAAAUGAGGCCACCCAGUAGUUAGGUGUGAAUUUUCGAGACCUUUGGCACCGUUCUAAGAUGGGUCCUCUCUUCGUAGGCUAAUGCAUUGGCCCUUUUUGACCCGUUUUGGGGCGAAAACAAAAACUGACUCCCGGGCAUAUUUUUUUCGGCCUUUAUGGGCAGAGAACUUUAAUACCGCUCAAAAUGAGGCCACCCAGUAGUUAGGUGUGAAUUUUCGAGACCUCUGGCACCGUUCUAAGAUGGGUCCUCUCUUCGUAGGCUAAUGCAUUGGCCCUUUUUGACCCGUUUUGGGGCGAAAACAAAAACUGACUCCCGGGCAUAUUUUUUUCGGCCUUUAUGGGCAGAGAACUUUAAUGCCGCUCAAAAUGAGGCCACCCAGUAGUUAGGUGUGAAUUUUCGAGACCUCUGGCACCGUUCUAAGAUGGGUCCUCUCUUCGUAGGCUAAUGCAUUGGCCCUUUUUGACCCGUUUUGGGGCGAAAACAAAAACUGACUCCCGGGCAUAUUUUUUUCGGCCUUUAUGGGCAGAGAACUUUAAUACCGCUCAGAAUGAGGCCACCCAGUAGUUAGGUGUGAAUUUUCGAGACCUUUGGCACCGUUCUAAGAUGGGUCCUCUCUUCGUAGGCUAAUGCAUUGGCCCUUUUUGACCCGUUUUGGGGCGAAAACAAAAACUGACUCCCGGGCAUAUUUUUUUCGGCCUUUAUGGGCAGAGAACUUUAAUACCGCUCAAAAUGAGGCCACCCAGUAGUUAGGUGUGAAUUUUCGAGACCUUUGGCACCGUUCUAAGAUGGGUCCUCUCUUCGUAGGCUAAUGCAUUGGCCCUUUUUGACCCGUUUUGGGGCGAAAACAAAAACUGACUCCCGGGCAUAUUUUUUUCGGCCUUUAUGGGCAGAGAACUUUAAUACCGCUCAAAAUGAGGCCACCCAGUAGUUAGGUGUGAAUUUUCGAGACCUUUGGCACCGUUCUAAGAUGGGUCCUCUCUUCGUAGGCUAAUGCAUUGGCCCUUUUUGACCCGUUUUGGGGCGAAAACAAAAACUGACUCCCGGGCAUAUUUUUUUCGGCCUUUAUGGGCAGAGAACUUUAAUACCGCUCAAAAUGAGGCCACCCAGUAGUUAGGUGUGAAUUUUCGAGACCUUUGGCACCGUUCUAAGAUGGGUCCUCUCUUCGUAGGCUAAUGCAUUGGCCCUUUUUGACCCGUUUUGGGGCGAAAACAAAAACUGACUCCCGGGCAUAUUUUUUUCGGCCUUUAUGGGCAGAGAACUUUAAUACCGCUCAAAAUGAGGCCACCCAGUAGUUAGGUGUGAAUUUUCGAGACCUUUGGCACCGUUCUAAGAUGGGUCCUCUCUUCGUAGGCUAAUGCAUUGGCCCUUUUUGACCCGUUUUGGGGCGAAAACAAAAACUGACUCCCGGGCAUAUUUUUUUCGGCCUUUAUGGGCAGAGAACUUUAAUACCGCUCAAAAUGAGGCCACCCAGUAGUUAGGUGUGAAUUUUCGAGACCUUUGGCACCGUUCUAAGAUGGGUCCUCUCUUCGUAGGCUAAUGCAUUGGCCCUUUUUGACCCGUUUUGGGGCGAAAACAAAAACUGACUCCCGGGCAUAUUUUUUUCGGCCUUUAUGGGCAGAGAACUUUAAUACCGCUCAAAAUGAGGCCACCCAGUAGUUAGGUGUGAAUUUUCGAGACCUUUGGCACCGUUCUAAGAUGGGUCCUCUCUUCGUAGGCUAAUGCAUUGGCCCUUUUUGACCCGUUUUGGGGCGAAAACAAAAACUGACUCCCGGGCAUAUUUUUUUCGGCCUUUAUGGGCAGAGAACUUUAAUACCGCUCAAAAUGAGGCCACCCAGUAGUUAGGUGUGAAUUUUCGAGACCUUUGGCACCGUUCUAAGAUGGGUCCUCUCUUCGUAGGCUAAUGCAUUGGCCCUUUUUGACCCGUUUUGGGGCGAAAACAAAAACUGACUCCCGGGCAUAUUUUUUUCGGCCUUUAUGGGCAGAGAACUUUAAUACCGCUCAAAAUGAGGCCACCCAGUAGUUAGGUGUGAAUUUUCGAGACCUUUGGCACCGUUCUAAGAUGGGUCCUCUCUUCGUAGGCUAAUGCAUUGGCCCUUUUUGACCCGUUUUGGGGCGAAAACAAAAACUGACUCCCGGGCAUAUUUUUUUCGGCCUUUAUGGGCAGAGAACUUUAAUACCGCUCAAAAUGAGGCCACCCAGUAGUUAGGUGUGAAUUUUCGAGACCUUUGGCACCGUUCUAAGAUGGGUCCUCUCUUCGUAGGCUAAUGCAUUGGCCCUUUUUGACCCGUUUUGGGGCGAAAACAAAAACUGACUCCCGGGCAUAUUUUUUUCGGCCUUUAUGGGCAGAGAACUUUAAUACCGCUCAAAAUGAGGCCACCCAGUAGUUAGGUGUGAAUUUUCGAGACCUUUGGCACCGUUCUAAGAUGGGUCCUCUCUUCGUAGGCUAAUGCAUUGGCCCUUUUUGACCCGUUUUGGGGCGAAAACAAAAACUGACUCCCGGGCAUAUUUUUUUCGGCCUUUAUGGGCAGAGAACUUUAAUACCGCUCAAAAUGAGGCCACCCAGUAGUUAGGUGUGAAUUUUCGAGACCUUUGGCACCGUUCUAAGAUGGGUCCUCUCUUCGUAGGCUAAUGCAUUGGCCCUUUUUGACCCGUUUUGGGGCGAAAACAAAAACUGACUCCCGGGCAUAUUUUUUUCGGCCUUUAUGGGCAGAGAACUUUAAUACCGCUCAAAAUGAGGCCACCCAGUAGUUAGGUGUGAAUUUUCGAGACCUUUGGCACCGUUCUAAGAUGGGUCCUCUCUUCGUAGGCUAAUGCAUUGGCCCUUUUUGACCCGUUUUGGGGCGAAAACAAAAACUGACUCCCGGGCAUAUUUUUUUCGGCCUUUAUGGGCAGAGAACUUUAAUACCGCUCAAAAUGAGGCCACCCAGUAGUUAGGUGUGAAUUUUCGAGACCUUUGGCACCGUUCUAAGAUGGGUCCUCUCUUCGUAGGCUAAUGCAUUGGCCCUUUUUGACCCGUUUUGGGGCGAAAACAAAAACUGACUCCCGGGCAUAUUUUUUUCGGCCUUUAUGGGCAGAGAACUUUAAUACCGCUCAAAAUGAGGCCACCCAGUAGUUAGGUGUGAAUUUUCGAGACCUUUGGCACCGUUCUAAGAUGGGUCCUCUCUUCGUAGGCUAAUGCAUUGGCCCUUUUUGACCCGUUUUGGGGCGAAAACAAAAACUGACUCCCGGGCAUAUUUUUUUCGGCCUUUAUGGGCAGAGAACUUUAAUACCGCUCAAAAUGAGGCCACCCAGUAGUUAGGUGUGAAUUUUCGAGACCUUUGGCACCGUUCUAAGAUGGGUCCUCUCUUCGUAGGCUAAUGCAUUGGCCCUUUUUGACCCGUUUUGGGGCGAAAACAAAAACUGACUCCCGGGCAUAUUUUUUUCGGCCUUUAUGGGCAGAGAACUUUAAUACCGCUCAAAAUGAGGCCACCCAGUAGUUAGGUGUGAAUUUUCGAGACCUUUGGCACCGUUCUAAGAUGGGUCCUCUCUUCGUAGGCUAAUGCAUUGGCCCUUUUUGACCCGUUUUGGGGCGAAAACAAAAACUGACUCCCGGGCAUAUUUUUUUCGGCCUUUAUGGGCAGAGAACUUUAAUACCGCUCAAAAUGAGGCCACCCAGUAGUUAGGUGUGAAUUUUCGAGACCUUUGGCACCGUUCUAAGAUGGGUCCUCUCUUCGUAGGCUAAUGCAUUGGCCCUUUUUGACCCGUUUUGGGGCGAAAACAAAAACUGACUCCCGGGCAUAUUUUUUUCGGCCUUUAUGGGCAGAGAACUUUAAUACCGCUCAAAAUGAGGCCACCCAGUAGUUAGGUGUGAAUUUUCGAGACCUUUGGCACCGUUCUAAGAUGGGUCCUCUCUUCGUAGGCUAAUGCAUUGGCCCUUUUUGACCCGUUUUGGGGCGAAAACAAAAACUGACUCCCGGGCAUAUUUUUUUCGGCCUUUAUGGGCAGAGAACUUUAAUACCGCUCAAAAUGAGGCCACCCAGUAGUUAGGUGUGAAUUUUCGAGACCUUUGGCACCGUUCUAAGAUGGGUCCUCUCUUCGUAGGCUAAUGCAUUGGCCCUUUUUGACCCGUUUUGGGGCGAAAACAAAAACUGACUCCCGGGCAUAUUUUUUUCGGCCUUUAUGGGCAGAGAACUUUAAUACCGCUCAAAAUGAGGCCACCCAGUAGUUAGGUGUGAAUUUUCGAGACCUUUGGCACCGUUCUAAGAUGGGUCCUCUCUUCGUAGGCUAAUGCAUUGGCCCUUUUUGACCCGUUUUGGGGCGAAAACAAAAACUGACUCCCGGGCAUAUUUUUUUCGGCCUUUAUGGGCAGAGAACUUUAAUACCGCUCAAAAUGAGGCCACCCAGUAGUUAGGUGUGAAUUUUCGAGACCUUUGGCACCGUUCUAAGAUGGGUCCUCUCUUCGUAGGCUAAUGCAUUGGCCCUUUUUGACCCGUUUUGGGGCGAAAACAAAAACUGACUCCCGGGCAUAUUUUUUUCGGCCUUUAUGGGCAGAGAACUUUAAUACCGCUCAAAAUGAGGCCACCCAGUAGUUAGGUGUGAAUUUUCGAGACCUUUGGCACCGUUCUAAGAUGGGUCCUCUCUUCGUAGGCUAAUGCAUUGGCCCUUUUUGACCCGUUUUGGGGCGAAAACAAAAACUGACUCCCGGGCAUAUUUUUUUCGGCCUUUAUGGGCAGAGAACUUUAAUACCGCUCAAAAUGAGGCCACCCAGUAGUUAGGUGUGAAUUUUCGAGACCUUUGGCACCGUUCUAAGAUGGGUCCUCUCUUCGUAGGCUAAUGCAUUGGCCCUUUUUGACCCGUUUUGGGGCGAAAACAAAAACUGACUCCCGGGCAUAUUUUUUUCGGCCUUUAUGGGCAGAGAACUUUAAUACCGCUCAAAAUGAGGCCACCCAGUAGUUAGGUGUGAAUUUUCGAGACCUUUGGCACCGUUCUAAGAUGGGUCCUCUCUUCGUAGGCUAAUGCAUUGGCCCUUUUUGACCCGUUUUGGGGCGAAAACAAAAACUGACUCCCGGGCAUAUUUUUUUCGGCCUUUAUGGGCAGAGAACUUUAAUACCGCUCAAAAUGAGGCCACCCAGUAGUUAGGUGUGAAUUUUCGAGACCUUUGGCACCGUUCUAAGAUGGGUCCUCUCUUCGUAGGCUAAUGCAUUGGCCCUUUUUGACCCGUUUUGGGGCGAAAACAAAAACUGACUCCCGGGCAUAUUUUUUUCGGCCUUUAUGGGCAGAGAACUUUAAUACCGCUCAAAAUGAGGCCACCCAGUAGUUAGGUGUGAAUUUUCGAGACCUUUGGCACCGUUCUAAGAUGGGUCCUCUCUUCGUAGGCUAAUGCAUUGGCCCUUUUUGACCCGUUUUGGGGCGAAAACAAAAACUGACUCCCGGGCAUAUUUUUUUCGGCCUUUAUGGGCAGAGAACUUUAAUACCGCUCAAAAUGAGGCCACCCAGUAGUUAGGUGUGAAUUUUCGAGACCUUUGGCACCGUUCUAAGAUGGGUCCUCUCUUCGUAGGCUAAUGCAUUGGCCCUUUUUGACCCGUUUUGGGGCGAAAACAAAAACUGACUCCCGGGCAUAUUUUUUUCGGCCUUUAUGGGCAGAGAACUUUAAUACCGCUCAAAAUGAGGCCACCCAGUAGUUAGGUGUGAAUUUUCGAGACCUUUGGCACCGUUCUAAGAUGGGUCCUCUCUUCGUAGGCUAAUGCAUUGGCCCUUUUUGACCCGUUUUGGGGCGAAAACAAAAACUGACUCCCGGGCAUAUUUUUUUCGGCCUUUAUGGGCAGAGAACUUUAAUACCGCUCAAAAUGAGGCCACCCAGUAGUUAGGUGUGAAUUUUCGAGACCUUUGGCACCGUUCUAAGAUGGGUCCUCUCUUCGUAGGCUAAUGCAUUGGCCCUUUUUGACCCGUUUUGGGGCGAAAACAAAAACUGACUCCCGGGCAUAUUUUUUUCGGCCUUUAUGGGCAGAGAACUUUAAUACCGCUCAAAAUGAGGCCACCCAGUAGUUAGGUGUGAAUUUUCGAGACCUUUGGCACCGUUCUAAGAUGGGUCCUCUCUUCGUAGGCUAAUGCAUUGGCCCUUUUUGACCCGUUUUGGGGCGAAAACAAAAACUGACUCCCGGGCAUAUUUUUUUCGGCCUUUAUGGGCAGAGAACUUUAAUACCGCUCAAAAUGAGGCCACCCAGUAGUUAGGUGUGAAUUUUCGAGACCUUUGGCACCGUUCUAAGAUGGGUCCUCUCUUCGUAGGCUAAUGCAUUGGCCCUUUUUGACCCGUUUUGGGGCGAAAACAAAAACUGACUCCCGGGCAUAUUUUUUUCGGCCUUUAUGGGCAGAGAACUUUAAUACCGCUCAAAAUGAGGCCACCCAGUAGUUAGGUGUGAAUUUUCGAGACCUUUGGCACCGUUCUAAGAUGGGUCCUCUCUUCGUAGGCUAAUGCAUUGGCCCUUUUUGACCCGUUUUGGGGCGAAAACAAAAACUGACUCCCGGGCAUAUUUUUUUCGGCCUUUAUGGGCAGAGAACUUUAAUACCGCUCAAAAUGAGGCCACCCAGUAGUUAGGUGUGAAUUUUCGAGACCUUUGGCACCGUUCUAAGAUGGGUCCUCUCUUCGUAGGCUAAUGCAUUGGCCCUUUUUGACCCGUUUUGGGGCGAAAACAAAAACUGACUCCCGGGCAUAUUUUUUUCGGCCUUUAUGGGCAGAGAACUUUAAUACCGCUCAAAAUGAGGCCACCCAGUAGUUAGGUGUGAAUUUUCGAGACCUCUUGGCACCGUUCUAAGAUGGGUCCUCUCUUCGUAGGCUAAUGCAUUGGCCCUUUUUGACCCGUUUUGGGGCGAAAACAAAAACUGACUCCCGGGCAUAUUUUUUUCGGCCUUUAUGGGCAGAGAACUUUAAUACCGCUCAAAAUGAGGCCACCCAGUAGUUAGGUGUGAAUUUUCGAGACCUCUGGCACCGUUCUAAGAUGGGUCCUCUCUUCGUAGGCUAAUGCAUUGGCCCUUUUUGACCCGUUUUGGGGCGAAAACAAAAACUGACUCCCGGGCAUAUUUUUUUCGGCCUUUAUGGGCAGAGAACUUUAAUGCCGCUCAAAAUGAGGCCACCCAGUAGUUAGGUGUGAAUUUUCGAGACCUCUGGCACCGUUCUAAGAUGGGUCCUCUCUUCGUAGGCUAAUGCAUUGGCCCUUUUUGACCCGUUUUGGGGCGAAAACAAAAACUGACUCCCGGGCAUAUUUUUUUCGGCCUUUAUGGGCAGAGAACUUUAAUACCGCUCAGAAUGAGGCCACCCAGUAGUUAGGUGUGAAUUUUCGAGACCUUCUGGCACCGUUCUAAGAUGGGUCCUCUCUUCGUAGGCUAAUGCAUUGGCCCUUUUUGACCCGUUUUGGGGCGAAAACAAAAACUGACUCCCGGGCAUAUUUUUUUCGGCCUUUAUGGGCAGAGAACUUUAAUACCGCUCAGAAUGAGGCCACCCAGUAGUUAGGUGUGAAUUUUCGAGACCUCUGGCACCGUUCUAAGAUGGGUCCUCUCUUCGUAGGCUAAUGCAUUGGCCCUUUUUGACCCGUUUUGGGGCGAAAACAAAAACUGACUCCCGGGCAUAUUUUUUUCGGCCUUUAUGGGCAGAGAACUUUAAUACCGCUCAGAAUGAGGCCACCCAGUAGUUAGGUGUGAAUUUUCGAGACCUUUGGCACCGUUCUAAGAUGGGUCCUCUCUUCGUAGGCUAAUGCAUUGGCCCUUUUUGACCCGUUUUGGGGCGAAAACAAAAACUGACUCCCGGGCAUAUUUUUUUCGGCCUUUAUGGGCAGAGAACUUUAAUGCCGCUCAGAAUGAGGCCACCCAGUAGUUAGGUGUGAAUUUUCGAGACCUUUGGCACCGUUCUAAGAUGGGUCCUCUCUUCGUAGGCUAAUGCAUUGGCCCUUUUUGACCCGUUUUGGGGCGAAAACAAAAACUGACUCCCGGGCAUAUUUUUUUCGGCCUUUAUGGGCAGAGAACUUUAAUGCCGCUCAGAAUGAGGCCACCCAGUAGUUAGGUGUGAAUUUUCGAGACCUCUGGCACCGUUCUAAGAUGGGUCCUCUCUUCGUAGGCUAAUGCAUUGGCCCUUUUUGACCCGUUUUGGGGCGAAAACAAAAACUGACUCCCGGGCAUAUUUUUUUCGGCCUUUAUGGGCAGAGAACUUUAAUACCGCUCAAAAUGAGGCCACCCAGUAGUUAGGUGUGAAUUUUCGAGACCUUUGGCACCGUUCUAAGAUGGGUCCUCUCUUCGUAGGCUAAUGCAUUGGCCCUUUUUGACCCGUUUUGGGGCGAAAACAAAAACUGACUCCCGGGCAUAUUUUUUUCGGCCUUUAUGGGCAGAGAACUUUAAUACCGCUCAAAAUGAGGCCACCCAGUAGUUAGGUGUGAAUUUUCGAGACCUCUGGCACCGUUCUAAGAUGGGUCCUCUCUUCGUAGGCUAAUGCAUUGGCCCUUUUUGACCCGUUUUGGGGCGAAAACAAAAACUGACUCCCGGGCAUAUUUUUUUCGGCCUUUAUGGGCAGAGAACUUUAAUACCGCUCAAAAUGAGGCCACCCAGUAGUUAGGUGUGAAUUUUCGAGACCUUUGGCACCGUUCUAAGAUGGGUCCUCUCUUCGUAGGCUAAUGCAUUGGCCCUUUUUGACCCGUUUUGGGGCGAAAACAAAAACUGACUCCCGGGCAUAUUUUUUUCGGCCUUUAUGGGCAGAGAACUUUAAUACCGCUCAGAAUGAGGCCACCCAGUAGUUAGGUGUGAAUUUUCGAGACCUUUGGCACCGUUCUAAGAUGGGUCCUCUCUUCGUAGGCUAAUGCAUUGGCCCUUUUUGACCCGUUUUGGGGCGAAAACAAAAACUGACUCCCGGGCAUAUUUUUUUCGGCCUUUAUGGGCAGAGAACUUUAAUACGCCGCUCAGAAUGAGGCCACCCAGUAGUUAGGUGUGAAUUUUCGAGACCUUUGGCACCGUUCUAAGAUGGGUCCUCUCUUCGUAGGCUAAUGCAUUGGCCCUUUUUGACCCGUUUUGGGGCGAAAACAAAAACUGACUCCCGGGCAUAUUUUUUUCGGCCUUUAUGGGCAGAGAACUUUAAUACCGCUCAGAAUGAGGCCACCCAGUAGUUAGGUGUGAAUUUUCGAGACCUUUGGCACCGUUCUAAGAUGGGUCCUCUCUUCGUAGGCUAAUGCAUUGGCCCUUUUUGACCCGUUUUGGGGCGAAAACAAAAACUGACUCCCGGGCAUAUUUUUUUCGGCCUUUAUGGGCAGAGAACUUUAAUACCGCUCAGAAUGAGGCCACCCAGUAGUUAGGUGUGAAUUUUCGAGACCUUUGGCACCGUUCUAAGAUGGGUCCUCUCUUCGUAGGCUAAUGCAUUGGCCCUUUUUGACCCGUUUUGGGGCGAAAACAAAAACUGACUCCCGGGCAUAUUUUUUUCGGCCUUUAUGGGCAGAGAACUUUAAUACCGCUCAAAAUGAGGCCACCCAGUAGUUAGGUGUGAAUUUUCGAGACCUUCUGGCACCGUUCUAAGAUGGGUCCUCUCUUCGUAGGCUAAUGCAUUGGCCCUUUUUGACCCGUUUUGGGGCGAAAACAAAAACUGACUCCCGGGCAUAUUUUUUUCGGCCUUUAUGGGCAGAGAACUUUAAUACCGCUCAAAAUGAGGCCACCCAGUAGUUAGGUGUGAAUUUUCGAGACCUCUGGCACCGUUCUAAGAUGGGUCCUCUCUUCGUAGGCUAAUGCAUUGGCCCUUUUUGACCCGUUUUGGGGCGAAAACAAAAACUGACUCCCGGGCAUAUUUUUUUCGGCCUUUAUGGGCAGAGAACUUUAAUACCCGCUCAGAAUGAGGCCACCCAGUAGUUAGGUGUGAAUUUUCGAGACCUUCUGGCACCGUUCUAAGAUGGGUCCUCUCUUCGUAGGCUAAUGCAUUGGCCCUUUUUGACCCGUUUUGGGGCGAAAACAAAAACUGACUCCCGGGCAUAUUUUUUUCGGCCUUUAUGGGCAGAGAACUUUAAUACCGCUCAAAAUGAGGCCACCCAGUAGUUAGGUGUGAAUUUUCGAGACCUCUGGCACCGUUCUAAGAUGGGUCCUCUCUUCGUAGGCUAAUGCAUUGGCCCUUUUUGACCCGUUUUGGGGCGAAAACAAAAACUGACUCCCGGGCAUAUUUUUUUCGGCCUUUAUGGGCAGAGAACUUUAAUACCGCUCAAAAUGAGGCCACCCAGUAGUUAGGUGUGAAUUUUCGAGACCUUUGGCACCGUUCUAAGAUGGGUCCUCUCUUCGUAGGCUAAUGCAUUGGCCCUUUUUGACCCGUUUUGGGGCGAAAACAAAAACUGACUCCCGGGCAUAUUUUUUUCGGCCUUUAUGGGCAGAGAACUUUAAUGCCGCUCAGAAUGAGGCCACCCAGUAGUUAGGUGUGAAUUUUCGAGACCUUUGGCACCGUUCUAAGAUGGGUCCUCUCUUCGUAGGCUAAUGCAUUGGCCCUUUUUGACCCGUUUUGGGGCGAAAACAAAAACUGACUCCCGGGCAUAUUUUUUUCGGCCUUUAUGGGCAGAGAACUUUAAUGCCGCUCAAAAUGAGGCCACCCAGUAGUUAGGUGUGAAUUUUCGAGACCUUUGGCACCGUUCUAAGAUGGGUCCUCUCUUCGUAGGCUAAUGCAUUGGCCCUUUUUGACCCGUUUUGGGGCGAAAACAAAAACUGACUCCCGGGCAUAUUUUUUUCGGCCUUUAUGGGCAGAGAACUUUAAUACCGCUCAAAAUGAGGCCACCCAGUAGUUAGGUGUGAAUUUUCGAGACCUUUGGCACCGUUCUAAGAUGGGUCCUCUCUUCGUAGGCUAAUGCAUUGGCCCUUUUUGACCCGUUUUGGGGCGAAAACAAAAACUGACUCCCGGGCAUAUUUUUUUCGGCCUUUAUGGGCAGAGAACUUUAAUGCCGCUCAAAAUGAGGCCACCCAGUAGUUAGGUGUGAAUUUUCGAGACCUUUGGCACCGUUCUAAGAUGGGUCCUCUCUUCGUAGGCUAAUGCAUUGGCCCUUUUUGACCCGUUUUGGGGCGAAAACAAAAACUGACUCCCGGGCAUAUUUUUUUCGGCCUUUAUGGGCAGAGAACUUUAAUACCCGCUCAGAAUGAGGCCACCCAGUAGUUAGGUGUGAAUUUUCGAGACCUUUGGCACCGUUCUAAGAUGGGUCCUCUCUUCGUAGGCUAAUGCAUUGGCCCUUUUUGACCCGUUUUGGGGCGAAAACAAAAACUGACUCCCGGGCAUAUUUUUUUCGGCCUUUAUGGGCAGAGAACUUUAAUACCGCUCAGAAAUGAGGCCACCCAGUAGUUAGGUGUGAAUUUUCGAGACCUUUGGCACCGUUCUAAGAUGGGUCCUCUCUUCGUAGGCUAAUGCAUUGGCCCUUUUUGACCCGUUUUGGGGCGAAAACAAAAACUGACUCCCGGGCAUAUUUUUUUCGGCCUUUAUGGGCAGAGAACUUUAAUACCGCUCAGAAAUGAGGCCACCCAGUAGUUAGGUGGGAAUUUUCGAGACCUUUGGCACCGUUCUAAGAUGGGUCCUCUCUUCGUAGGCUAAUGCAUUGGCCCUUUUUGACCCGUUUUGGGGCGAAAACAAAAACUGACUCCCGGGCAUAUUUUUUUCGGCCUUUAUGGGCAGAGAACUUUAACACCGCUCAAAAUGAGGCCACCCAGUAGUUAGGUGUGAAUUUUCGAGACCUUUGGCACCGUUCUAAGAUGGGUCCUCUCUUCGUAGGCUAAUGCAUUGGCCCUUUUUGACCCGUUUUGGGGCGAAAACAAAAACUGACUCCCGGGCAUAUUUUUUUCGGCCUUUAUGGGCAGAGAACUUUAAUACCGCUCAAAAUGAGGCCACCCAGUAGUUAGGUGUGAAUUUUCGAGACCUUUGGCACCGUUCUAAGAUGGGUCCUCUCUUCGUAGGCUAAUGCAUUGGCCCUUUUUGACCCGUUUUGGGGCGAAAACAAAAACUGACUCCCGGGCAUAUUUUUUUCGGCCUUUAUGGGCAGAGAACUUUAACACCGCUCAAAAUGAGGCCACCCAGUAGUUAGGUGGGAAUUUUCGAGACCUUUGGCACCGUUCUAAGAUGGGUCCUCUCUUCGUAGGCUAAUGCAUUGGCCCUUUUUGACCCGUUUUGGGGCGAAAACAAAAACUGACUCCCGGGCAUAUUUUUUUUCGGCCUUUAUGGGCAGAGAACUUUAACACCGCUCAAAAUGAGGCCACCCAGUAGUUAGGUGGGAAUUUUCGAGACCUUUGGCACCGUUCUAAGAUGGGUCCUCUCUUCGUAGGCUAAUGCAUUGGCCCUUUUUGACCCGUUUUGGGGCGAAAACAAAAACUGACUCCCGGGCAUAUUUU
RNAcentral lists this long non-coding RNA (31460 nucleotides) under Cucumis sativus (cucumber). RNAcentral's name for it is "long non-coding RNA (CSAT_LNC001529)". Lineage: Eukaryota; Viridiplantae; Streptophyta; Magnoliopsida; Cucurbitales; Cucurbitaceae. The record is from RNAcentral.